CCCUCCUCCUCGCUCACCGCCCUGCAAAAAUAGAAGAAGUAAAAUAAAGGUGCAAGAUACUGCGUCAUUCUAAGAAGAGAUAAGCAUCCAGUUCCCCCUCAAACUAUGGCCAAAGUUGCUACGACACACUCCAACUUCACAGGGGUCCUACUACCCCUCUGAACUCAAUUUUAGCGUAUUUUCGUUACCCUUUUGUGUUGACGUGACACUUUUAUUACAUAAAAUGGAGCCCACGUCAAAGGUGUCACGCUAGCUAAAAAGGUUGACAAAAGGUGCAUCGUCAGCACAAAAUGGUGAUAAAAAUACGCUAAACUCUCUUAAAGCCAAGUUAAAGUACAAAACCACAACAAAAUGAUGAACAUAGAAACUUCUGAAUAAGAAAAUGUGCUACUUACAAGCUCAAUUAUAAUAAUCAAGAUCAGCAAACUACAUCACUCUGUAACUUUGAUGAUUACCAAACCUCAUUGGACGUUUUAUAGUGUCGGUGAUGGUUCUACUUCCUCCGUCCCAUUUUAUAUGAAGGUGUUUGUCCGGGUAAGGAAUUUUAACAGAAAAAGAAGACUUCUGUAACUUGUGGCCUAAAAUAAGACAGAGAAACUUUUGUGGCCGUAAAUCAUAGUAGCAUUUAAGGUAAACUGGGAAAUUUGAAGCUAAAAGGUUACUAAAGAUAGAAAGAUGUCAUUCUUUCACGUGUUUCGAUAGUGUAACUCGUCUUGAGGAAGUUCUAUGGUCCCGGACCACGAUGGUGGUUGACCUUGGGACAAUCAGACACGUCGAUCCUACUUGAGUUCCACAAGACACAAUGUUUCCUAGGGAGCAAAGCAUCUAGUACCCCUGAACUAUGACCAAAUUUGCUACGACAUACCCCAACUUCACGGGGGGUCCUUCCCUGAACUAAUUUUUAGCAUAUUCUUGUCAACCUUUUUAGCUGACGUGGAACCUUUGAUGUCGGCCCCUUUUUAUGUAAUAAAGGUGUCAGUCACAUCAGCACAAAAGGGUGACAAAAAUAUGCUAAAAUUGAGUUCAGGGGUAGUAGGACCCCUGUGAAGUUGCAGUGUGUCGUAGCAACUUUGGCCAUAGUUCGGAGGGGUACUGGAUUCUUAUCUCUUUCCUAGCCCUUGGAUUUGUGAUUGUUCUUUACCUCACAAUGGUUCUGAUUAUUUCAAGUUUAUCUCCAACAGGUCGCUAUGAUAUCGCCCGGGCAUUAGAAAAAUGGGGUGGCCUUCAUGAAGUUUCGCGUCUUCUAUCACUUAAGGUAAGGCACCCUAACAGACAAGCAAGCCUUGCCAAAGAUAAGAAAGUUGACUGUGAAACGACAUCGUCUAAACCUUUUGUUGCACAAGAUGCAAAGAAAUGGCUCAUGAAACUCAAAGACUUGGACAUGAACUGGGUAGAAUGAGCAUCAAAUUUUGUUUCACUUCUGAAAGCAUGACAACAGCUAAUUGUAUCAACUGUACAUAUAUCAAUCGAGCACGUUUCAAUUCCAAACUAGUUCGCGUCACCUUCUGCUUUGUGUACAAGAUGUGUUAUCUUUCAUAGUUCACCAGGAAGGAUGGAACACUAAAAGGGCAGCCCGGUGCACUAAAGCUACCGCUAUGCGUGGUGUCCGAGGAAGGGCUCCACCACAAGGGUGUAUUUUACGCAGCCUUACCUUGCAUUUCUGCCAGAGUCUGUUUCAAAAGCUUGAACCCGUGACCUCCUGGUCACAUGGCAGCAGCUUUACCAGUUACUCCAAGGCUUCCCUUCAAAGGAUAGAACACUAUGAAUCAAAAUUGAGGAUUGCGCGUUUGUUGAAUGUGAAAAUCGAGUGUGUACCUUGUAAGCCCCAUCCAGGAUAAAAGAAGUCUGGCGCGACAAUCUACACGCGUCAACUAUGUCUCAUCCUUCUUGGGUACUAGAAUCAGGGGCAUCGCACAUGAACUUAAGCUUUUCUUGUUUGGUUCACCUUCCUUUUCCACAACCACGCAUUCGUGAUCAUGAAAAUUCCUCAAACUCGCGAUAUACAAGCAGUUCCUCAGGCUCAUUUCGCUCAUAACCAGUCGAAGCAACGAGUCAUCAGGCAGAAUUUCUGGAAGAAGAUGCCAUUUUCCAACCAAAGUUAGUAUUCAUAGUGUUAACAACAACAUACCUAGUAUAUUCCCAUCAAGUGGAGUCUGGGGAGGGUUAGUGUACGCGGUCCAUACCACUACAUCAGAUUUGAGAUAGAGAGGCUGUUUUCGAUAGACCCGCGGCUCAAAAUAGUAUUAGUAGUGUUUAGUUUAAGCAAAUUUCUAGUGUUGUUCACCAAUAUACUGGGAAAAUGUAAUAUGGUGGGAAAAGGAACUUUGAAAAUGUUUGUAUUUAAGGGGCAAUAAUGUCAUAAAUCGAGUUAAUGCAUGCGUUGAAACCCUUUGUAUUACUAAUACACGAAAAACUGUCGCCGUGGUAUUAGUAAUACACAAUAAAGUGUAUAACUAAUGCAAACAUUCGUUUUUUUGUUGUAUAACUAAUGCAAACUUGACUAAAAAAAUAUACGUAUCAAACAAGGUAUACUAGUAAUAUACAAGACUAGUGCAUGUAUUUUUUUUUUUUAAUAUACUAUAUUAAACAACCCCUUAAUGUUUCUGAACAAGCUACAACAACAACAUACUCAGUAUAUUCCCACAAAAUGGAGAUUGGGGAGGGUAAAGUAUAUAAAGUCCGUACUACUACCUUAGAGGUGAGGUAGAGAAGUUGUUUCCGAUAUAUCUCGAUUCAUGACAAAAACAAUCUAGAAAAAGACAUAAUAUAAAAACAAGAAACAAUAGGUAGAAACAAACAAAAAAAAAUAAUAACGAAAUAAAACUACCACAAAGUAAUACUAUUCUCGAACUAUCCGAAACAACAAACAUCACUAAUAGUUCAAGAACAAGACAAUACAAGCAAAGUAUUACGACUACUGAGUUAGAGAGGCUGUCUCCAAUAGAUCCCUGGCUCAAGAUAAAACGAAUCUAGAAAAAGACAUAAUCUAAGAAUAAGAAACAAUAGGUAGUGACAAACAACAUACAACAACACAAAUAAGACUACUGCAAAGUAAUACUACCCUCGAACACCACUAAAAUUUGCCAAGACACUACAAGCAAAGAACUACGACUAUUGAGGUAAAGAGGCUAUUUUCAAUAGACCCCGAUUCAAGACAGAAACAAUUCAGAAAAAUACAUAAUAUAAGAACCAAAAAAUAAUAAGUAGUAACAAAAUAGUAUAUAAUAAUAGAAUUAAGACUACCACAAAGUAAUACUACCUAGAACUAUUCGAAACAACAAACCUCACGAAAGCCCCAAAAACAAAACGGUACAAGUAAAGUACUACGACUACUUGAGGUAGAAAGGUUGUUUUUAAUAAACUUCAGCUCAAGACAAAAAUAAUCUAAAAAAAAUACAUAAUUAAUAGACGAACAAAAAACAAGUAGUAAAACAGAACAAUAUAUAACACAAAUAAGAACAAAAAAACAAUAGAUAAUAACAAAACAAACAUAAAAUAACAAUAAGACUAGCAUAAAAGUAAACUACUCCCGAACUAUUCGAAAUAAUAAACAUCACCAAAACUCUAAAAACAAGUCGCUACAAGUAAAGUACUACGACUGACUAAUUAGGUGGAGAAGUUAUUUUCAAUAGACCCCAUUAGAAAAAGACAUAAUAUAAAAACAAAAAACAAUAAUCAGUAACAAAACAACAUAAGACUACCACAAAUUAAUUAUACUACCCUAGAAAUAUCCUAAAUAACAAACAUCACCAAUACUCCAAAAAUAAGACCGUACAAGUACUACGACUACUGAGAUAAAGAGGUUGUUUUCAAUAAACUCACAACUCAAGACAAAAACAAGUUAGAAAAAGACAUAAUAUAGGAACAAAAAAGAAUAAAUAGUAAUAACAUAAAAUAAUAAUAAGACUCACAAAAUAGUAUUACUCCCGAACAAUUCAAAAAAGCAAACAUCACCAAAACUCCAAAAACAAGAGAUUACAAGUGAAGUACUACGACUACUAAGGUUCAGAGAUUGUUUUCACCCUAGGCUCAAGACAAAAGUAAGCUACAAAAAGACAUAAUGUAAAAACAAAAAAAAUAAUAAAUAAUAACAAAAUAACAUAAAAUAACAAUAAUACUAUCACAAAGUAAUACUACCCUAAUACUACUCUGAAACUAUCCGAAACAAUAAACAUCACUACAAGCAAAGCACUAAAAAAGGGCAGCUCGGUGCACUAAAGCUAUUGCUAUGCGCGGUGUCGGGGGAAGAGUCCCAUCACAAGGGUGUAUCUUACGCAGCCUUACCUUAUAUUUCUGCUAGAACUAUUUUCAAGGCUUAAAUCCGUGACCUCCUAGUCACAUAACAACAACUUUACCAGUUACUCCAAGCAAAGCACUACGACUAUAAAAGGGCAGCCCGGUGCACUAAAGCUACCGCUAUGCGUGAUAUCCGGGAAAGGGCCCCACCCCAGUGAUGCAUCGUACACAGACUUAUAUUUUCCAUUUCUACCAGAGGCUGUUUCCAAGGCUUGAACCCGUGACCUCCUGGUCACAUGACAAUAACUUUACCAAUUACUCCAAGCAAAGCACUAUGACUACAAAAGGACAACCCAGUGCACUAAAGCUAUCACUAUGCACGGUAUUCGGGGAAGGACCCACUACAAGGUGUAUCGUACGCAGCCUUACCUUGUAUUUCUGUCAUAGGCUGUUUCCAAGACUUAAAACCGUGUCCUCCUGAUCACAUGACAGCAACUUUAUCAGUUACUCC
RNAcentral lists this long non-coding RNA (4747 nucleotides) under Capsicum annuum. RNAcentral's name for it is "long non-coding RNA (CANN_LNC018237)". Lineage: Eukaryota; Viridiplantae; Streptophyta; Magnoliopsida; Solanales; Solanaceae. The record is from RNAcentral.